Molecule: ribosomal RNA, 447 nt
Filed under: uncultured bacterium
Lineage: Bacteria
Description: bacterial SSU rRNA
Rfam family: Bacterial small subunit ribosomal RNA
Source: RNAcentral
CGCCAGACUCCUACGGGAGGCAGCAGUGGGGAAUAUUGCACAAUGGGCGAAAGCCUGAUGCAGCGACGCCGCGUGAAGGAUGAAGUAUUUCGGUAUGUAAACUUCUAUCAGCAGGGAAGAAAAUGACGGUACCUGACUAAGAAGCCCCGGCUAACUACGUGCCAGCAGCCGCGGUAAUACGUAGGGGGCAAGCGUUAUCCGGAUUUACUGGGUGUAAAGGGAGCGUAGACGGUUAUGCAAGUCUGGAGUGAAAGGCGGGGGCUCAACCCCCGGACUGCUCUGGAAACUGUAGAACUAGAGUGCAGGAGGGGUAAGUGGAAUUCCUAGUGUAGCGGUGAAAUGCGUAGAUAUUAGGAGGAACACCAGUGGCGAAGGCGACUUUCUGGACUGUACCUGACGCUGAGGCGCGAAAGCGUGGUUAGCGAACGGGAUUAGAUACCCGGGUAC